GACGAACGCUGGCGGCGUGCCUAAUACAUGCAAGUAGAACGCUGAAGAGAGGAGCUUGCUCUUCUUGGAUGAGUUGCGAACGGGUGAGUAACGCGUAGGUAACCUGCCUGGUAGCGGGGGAUAACUAUUGGAAACGAUAGCUAAUACCGCAUAAAAUUGAUUAUUGCAUGAUAAUUAAUUGAAAGAUGCAACUGCAUCACUACCAGAUGGACCUGCGUUGUAUUAGCUAGUUGGUGAGGUAACGGCUCACCAAGGCGACGAUACAUAGCCGACCUGAGAGGGUGAUCGGCCACACUGGGACUGAGACACGGCCCAGACUCCUACGGGAGGCAGCAGUAGGGAAUCUUCGGCAAUGGGAGGAAACCCCUGACCGAGCAAACGCCCGCGUGAGUGAAAGAAAGGUUUUUCGGAUUCGUAAAAGCUUCUGUUGUAA
RNAcentral lists this ribosomal RNA (433 nucleotides) under Streptococcus sanguinis. RNAcentral describes it as "bacterial SSU rRNA". It matches the Rfam family "Bacterial small subunit ribosomal RNA", at positions 28 to 441 of the family's 1533-position model. The record is from RNAcentral. Lineage: Bacteria; Bacillati; Bacillota; Bacilli; Lactobacillales; Streptococcaceae.